This 460-nucleotide ribosomal RNA is filed under the name uncultured bacterium. RNAcentral's name for it is "partial 16S ribosomal RNA". It matches the Rfam family "Bacterial small subunit ribosomal RNA", at positions 338 to 795 of the family's 1533-position model. The record is from RNAcentral.
CCUACGGGUGGCAGCAGUGAGGAAUAUUGGGCAAUGGACGAGAGUCUGAACCAGCCAAGUAGCGUGAAGGAAGACGGCCCUAGGGGUGGUAAACUUCGUUUAUAGGGGAAUAAAAUGUUCCACGUGUGUGAUUUUGUAUGUACCUUAUGAAUCAGGAUCGGCUAACUCCGUGCCAGCAGCCGCGGUAAUACGGAGGAUCCGAGCGUUAUCCGGCUUUAUUGGGUUUAAAGGGCGCGUAGGUGGUUUGUUAAGUCAGUUGUGAAAGUUUGCGGCUCAACCGUAGAAUUGCAGUUGAAACUGGCAGUCUUGAGUACAGUAGAGGUGGGCGGAAUUCGUUGUGUAGCGGUGAAAUGCUUAGAUAUCACGAAGAACUCCGGUUGCGAAGGCAGUUCACUGGACUGCAACUGACGCUGAGGCUCGAAAGUGUGGGUAUCAAACAGGAUUAGAUACCCUAGUAGUC